This 1050-nucleotide long non-coding RNA is filed under the name Lactuca sativa (garden lettuce). RNAcentral describes it as "long non-coding RNA (LSAT_LNC002537)". Lineage: Eukaryota; Viridiplantae; Streptophyta; Magnoliopsida; Asterales; Asteraceae. The record is from RNAcentral.
UUUCACUAUAUAUAUAAGCUCAAUGACAUACAAAUAACAAACACAAUAAACAUAAAAUAGAAACCAUAAAAAUCAUAAAAACUUUGAUGCCUAAACUACAACUUCAAGAGGUUUUGGGCUUCUUGACUAACAAGACCAGACAUUUGACGUUUUGCACAGAGAGAUUGCUCACACUCCCAAGAAAUGCCUGUCAAUUUCAAUGCAAUUUUCAUAAUUCAUAAACAUAGAUAAUCAUCUAUAAUCGUUAAUAGAAACACUGACAUCUUAGUGAAACGGUAUCCAUGGAUGCCUAACACCACCAUGUGCCAUUUGUGCCAUCUCUAAUAUUAAUCACAACAAAAAUCUACCCGAUUUCAACAACAAAAUUAAACAUCAAGAACAUUUUUAGAUUUUCAAGCAAACACAAACACAUAUUUUCAUAUUUUCAGCACAAACACAUAAUUUUAGAUUUUUAAGCAAACACAAACACAUUUGUUACUUUUCAGAUUUUAAAUACAAAUAGAGAAGCAAGAACAAAGUAGAGAAAAUUCAUUUCCACAAACCAUAAAAAAAAUCGAGGAGCAAGAACACAUAUCAAACACCAAUUUCAUACAAAUUCAGCAUAACAGGUUUUAGGGCCUGAAAUAAUCGACCAAAAAGAUAGGACCUGAAAAAAUGACCAAAAAGACUAGAGCAGAAAACUUAGCAUUGAACAGGGAAGCGACGAGGGGUGAGGCGAAGAAGGCGGAUGUGUAGUGGCGAAGGUGGAGUGGCGCUGCCGGAGGCUGGCAAAGGGAAGGUGUAGUCGCUCGAGAAGAAGGAGAAAAAAAAAGUGGCCGCCGUGUUUUUAUGUUAGGGCAAGGGUAGUGUGCAGAACUUUUUCAUCCAGAUUCCUCCUUAUGUAUUACAGAUCCAAAUCAUUUUUGCAACAUUUGACCGAUUAAGAGGGUAAAAACCAUUCAACCAAACGUUGAACAACCCAGAACCAGCCUCUUAAUGGAAUAUUAAGAGGCAAAAUAAAUAGCCCCUAAGUUUGUCACUUUCAACAACAAAAGCAUUACUCAGUCUCAU